AUUGAACGCUGGCGGCAGGCCUAACACAUGCAAGUCGAGCGGAUGAAGGGAGCUUGCUCCUGGAUUCAGCGGCGGACGGGUGAGUAAUGCCUAGGAAUCUGCCUGGUAGUGGGGGAUAACGCCCGGAAACGGGCGCUAAUACCGCAUACGUCCUGAGGGAGAAAGUGGGGGAUCUUCGGACCUCACGCUAUCAGAUGAGCCUAGGUCGGAUUAGCUAGUUGGUGGGGUAAAGGCCUACCAAGGCGACGAUCCGUAACUGGUCUGAGAGGAUGAUCAGUCACACUGGAACUGAGACACGGUCCAGACUCCUACGGGAGGCAGCAGUGGGGAAUAUUGGACAAUGGGCGAAAGCCUGAUCCAGCCAUGCCGCGUGUGUGAAGAAGGUCUUCGGAUUGUAAAGCACUUUAAGUUGGGAGGAAGGGCAGUAAGUUAAUACCUUGCUGUUUUGACGUUACCGACAGAAUAAGCACCGGCUAACUUCGUG
RNAcentral lists this ribosomal RNA (484 nucleotides) under uncultured bacterium. Its description in RNAcentral is "partial 16S ribosomal RNA". It matches the Rfam family "Bacterial small subunit ribosomal RNA", at positions 30 to 507 of the family's 1533-position model. The record is from RNAcentral.